AUUGAACGCUGGCGGCAUGCCUUACACAUGCAAGUCGAACGGCAGCACGGGAGCAAUCCUGGUGGCGAGUGGCGAACGGGUGAGUAAUAUAUCGGAACGUGCCCAGUCGUGGGGAUAACGUAGCGAAAGCUACGCUAAUACCGCAUACGAUCUAUGGAUGAAAGCGGGGGAUCGCAAGACCUCGCGCGAUUGGAGCGGCCGAUAUCAGAUUAGGUAGUUGGUGAGGUAAAGGCUCACCAAGCCGACGAUCUGUAGCUGGUCUGAGAGGACGACCAGCCACACUGGGACUGAGACACGGCCCAGACUCCUACGGGAGGCAGCAGUGGGGGAAUUUUUGGGACAAUGGGCGCAAGCCUGAUCCAGCAAUGCCGCGUGCAGGAUGAAGGCCUUGGUU
This 394-nucleotide ribosomal RNA is filed under the name uncultured bacterium. RNAcentral describes it as "bacterial SSU rRNA". It matches the Rfam family "Bacterial small subunit ribosomal RNA", at positions 30 to 424 of the family's 1533-position model. The record is from RNAcentral.